GCUGGAACAGCUCAAUCGGUAGAUCAUGGGGCUCUUAAUUUCAGGGUUGUGGGUUCAAGCCCCACAUUGGGCA
Molecule: non-coding RNA, 73 nt
Organism: Podarcis lilfordi (Lilford's wall lizard)
Lineage: Eukaryota; Metazoa; Chordata; Lepidosauria; Squamata; Lacertidae
Source: the annotation of a GenBank genome assembly